Long non-coding RNA from Mustela lutreola (European mink), 3310 nucleotides. RefSeq lists it as uncharacterized. The transcript has 2 exons. NCBI's taxonomy places the organism in Eukaryota, Metazoa, Chordata, Mammalia, Carnivora, Mustelidae. The record is from RefSeq and is a predicted model, not a curated record.
CCCUCCGGGCGGUUCAAGUUUCUGCGCCCGGAGGACGCGGCCUUGGCCAAUCCCUGGGCUACAGGGCGCUUUUAAAAUGCAGGUACGGCUGCGGGGAGGGGGACGGUGGGAAAGGUAGGGCAGGGCUUUCCUUAAAGGAGACGCGCGGAAAUGGACGCCGAGCCCCCUCCCAGGCCUGCGUCCCCCGCGCACCCUCCUCCGCCCCAAAUAAACGAAUACCCGGGAGCCGAAGGACAGCGCCGCUUCUCCCUCCCGCGGACACCCGAGCCCGGCGUAGUGAGAGACACGACGAACAAUGGGACUCUGACUCGGGGGUCGCUGUCCCCGGAGGCAGGGCGGCUCUUUGUCCCCUUCCUUGUCCCCGACUCCUCCGCCCCCAUCUCCACUCCCGUCCCUUGCCUGAGCACGCGGAAGGGCUGCGUUUCCACUCCAGCCCAGCGCUGUGGCUCCUGCGGCUGCGCCCGGGAGGGCCAGGGCCUCGCCAGACGUGUCUCCGAGCACGGUCUGUACCCUCUCCCCUGUCCCAGGGGGGCGAGGGCACAGGGAACUUGCCCCCAGGCCGGAGCCGCGUACAGAGCACUGCUCCCCCGCCCACCCGACCGCUAGUCCCCGGGCUUCGAGGGAGAGUCAGGGAUUCGGAGGAGGAGAUCCCUGGAGGGGAUGGAGGAAGGUCUCUCCACCGGGGCCUUAACGGCAGGGCCGGGGGUCGCCGACCCACCAGCAGAAACCCCGUCCCACCGGCAGCCUCGCCGGGCACCCGGGGUGUUGCCCCCCCAGCCUGGGAGUCUGUCUCAUUAUCCUCGAGUCCCCCGAAGCGUGUUUACAGCGCGCCUGCUGCUGGCUGGUCCGAGGGGGGCGUCCCUCCCCGGAGACCCGCAAUAAGAUAAAACCCCCGCGCCCUCGACUGGGAGCCACCACGGCCUGGAGCGCGCGCCCGCGCAGCAGCUGAUGGCCCCAUUUCCAGUUGCUCAACCAUUCGCUGGCCAACUGCGCACCCAGCACCUUCUCUACACCGGCCCUGUUCCAAACCCCCGGGAGAUUCCACAGGGCAGGACAGCAGAGGUCACUACCCUCUGGGGGGGACGUUGCAGUCUCCUGGGAGGAGGAGAGGGCGAUGAUAAACGCUAGAUAAGCAGGAGGCGGCUCCUAAGUGCCGGCGCAGGGGAUUAAGACAAGCUGCUGUCACAGAAAGUGAUAAUCAGUUACUUUAGAUCCUGUGGUCAAGGAGGACCACUCAGGAGGUGCAUCUAAGCUGAGACCUGAGCAGAAAGGACAAAGAUGAGGGGGGAAGGGCCCUCCAGGUGAAGGGAGGAGAGUGCAGAGGCCCUAGGGUUGGCCUGUUAGUCGCCCUUACAAAGAAGGCAGGUGGGGCUGGGAAUGGGCCGGGAAGGGCUGAGAGAUGAGACACUGCAUGAGUCUAAGGCAGCUGGGAAAGCAGUAGGGGGUUAGCGCCGAGCAACCUGACCUGAUUUGCCUUUUAAGAGGCUCACUCUGGCCAGCUAGUGAAGGAAUGGGGAGGUGCACAGAGAGGUCACUAUUCAGUACCUCAUUCCCCACCCAUGCGCCCCUCUUUCCAGGUGGUUGUUCAGGAGGGUGUGGUAGGGAGGGGACGAGUGGGAGGAGCAGAGCUCUGAGGGUGAAGCCCCAGAAGUGUUCAGGGUUCCCAUGACUUGGCCCAGGUGAGCCCCAGUUCUCCAUAGGCCCAGCCCAGCCCGGAUGAAUCGGGGUUUGGAGAGGGCUUCAGCUCACAUCUGGGAGGCUGCAAGCCUGUCUUAGCCCAGGAAGCCAGAUCAAACAGAUCCUGAAGGCUGUGCACAGAGCUGCUUCUGGGAUCGGUGAGAAGAGCAUGUGUGGACUCACUAGGGAAGUGGUGGAGAUGGGUAACCCUGAGCUGAACUUGGGAGGGCCAAGCUAAGACAGAGUCCUAAGCAAGAGGGACUGGUCAAGCCAGGUCCCCUCCCUAAGGCCCAGUGUCCCUCACGGUCCAGCAAAAGGUGCCAAGUUCCCUAGAACAUUCUCAGUCCAACAGACCUUGUACUCCAAGCCAUGAACUCAGAAAGGUCCUAUGUCUUGGUGUCUAGCUUCCCGGUCAUGAGAAGCUCAGCUUUGUCAUGAAAACAGUAAAACCGAAUCAUGGCUCUCUAGCACAGGAAUUCUCUCGAUGCCCCAUAUAAAUAGUUGGGGGUCUUUUAAAUAAUAGAGAUAUACCCCUGACUCUCCUAUUUUAUUUUCCUUCAAAAUCUCCCAGUGCGUGUCCAUUUAAAAGCACAUAAUUAUUCUGGAGAGCCGGUAUACGGACACAUAAUAGACAAACUAUUUCAAAACACAGGGUCCGUGCCCCUGGGAACUGCUAGUAAGACCACACUACGGCGGUAAGCAGCCUGUCUCCCCACUGGGAAGGGAGCACAGAGCCCAGAGCAGAGGCCAUCUGAUGUUUGCAGGGGGAGUGCACAACCCUUGGGCACGUGACCGAUUCAAUCCGAGCGCCUCAUUUUGAAGUUGAGGCAACUGGGCCACAGAAGGGAAAUGACUUGCUCAAGGUCACUUCCCCUCAUUGGCUUACUGAACACGCAAACAUAGCAUGAUCCGGUAGUAUGUCUCCAUGAAAGUAUAUGCACGCAUCGACAUAUGCUUCGGCAUAUAUGGAAAAUGCUCUUGGCUGCGUUGCGGUGAGUACCCCAGAGAGACGGGUAGGACAUACAAUCAAGGCAGCAUUCUGAAGCACCGGGCUGGGCUUCCUGGAGGCGGUGACAUCUGAGUUGAAACUUUUUUGUUUUUAAGUAAUCUCUCCUCCCAACAGGAGGCUCAAACUCAAUGACCCUGAGACCAAGAGUCCAAUGCUCUCCUGACUGAGGCAGCCGGGUGCCCCCUGAGUGGAAUCUUGAACACUGAGUAGGAGUUUGUGAGAUUUUGGAGGGGGGUGGAGAGCACUGGGAUAGUCCAAAUGGAGAAAAAUACACAAGCCCAGACCCCAAAGGACAUUUGUUUCCCGUGUUUCGCUAUAAACACCAACGCCGCCGUAGACAUUCUGGUACAGUCCGACGUAUGUGAGCUCGAACUUGGACCCUAGACCUAGGCCCAGAGUGGCUGGGUCGUACGGCACACGGCUUCUGUCCAACUGGCUGAGGCCAAACAUCUUCACAGCCCGCCCAGCAGGGUCUUGAAUGUUGUCACUCUGGUGGACGAACCUUCAUGUGCUUUCCACACCCACUCCGCCUCCCUCGGGCUGUUAGGGCACAUGAGAAGUCCAGUUCAAUUUCACACUCCACGUGCCCACUAUAUUAGGAAACAAAACAAAACAAACCAAAAA